GAUGAACGCUGGCGGCGUGCCUAAUACAUGCAAGUCGAGCGAACAGACGAGGAGCUUGCUCCUCUGACGUUAGCGGCGGACGGGUGAGUAACACGUGGAUAACCUACCUAUAAGACUGGGAUAACUUCGGGAAACCGGAGCUAAUACCGUAUAACAUGUUGAACCGCAUGGUUCAACAGUGAAAGACGGUCUUGCUGUCACUUAUAGAUGGAUCCGCGCCGCAUUAGCUAGUUGGUAAGGUAACGGCUUACCAAGGCAACGAUGCGUAGCCGACCUGAGAGGGUGAUCGGCCACACUGGAACUGAGACACGGUCCAGACUCCUACGGGAGGCAGCAGUAGGGAAUCUUCCGCAAUGGGCGAAAGCCUGACGGAGCAACGCCGCGUGAGUGGAGAAGGUCUUCGGAUCGUAAAACUCUGUUAUUAGGGAAGAACAAAUGUGUAAGUAACUAUGCACGUCUUGACGGUACCUAAUCAGAAAGCCACGGCUAACUACGUG
RNAcentral lists this ribosomal RNA (497 nucleotides) under uncultured bacterium. RNAcentral describes it as "partial 16S ribosomal RNA". It matches the Rfam family "Bacterial small subunit ribosomal RNA", at positions 28 to 507 of the family's 1533-position model. The record is from RNAcentral.